Molecule: ribosomal RNA, 466 nt
Filed under: uncultured bacterium
Lineage: Bacteria
Description: bacterial SSU rRNA
Rfam family: Bacterial small subunit ribosomal RNA
Source: RNAcentral
ACCAGACUCCUACGGGAGGCAGCAGUGAGGAAUAUUGGUCAAUGGACGAGAGUCUGAACCAGCCAAGUAGCGUGAAGGAUGACUGCCCUAUGGGUUGUAAACUUCUUUUAUAUGGGAAUAAAAUGUUCCACGUGUGGGAUUUUGUAUGUACCAUAUGAAUAAGGAUCGGCUAACUCCGUGCCAGCAGCCGCGGUAAUACGGAAGGUCCGGGCGUUAUCCGGAUUUAUUGGGUUUAAAGGGAGCGUAGGCCGGUCUUUAAGCGUGCCGUGAAAUUUUGUGGCUCAACCAUGAGAGUGCGGCGCGAACUGGAGACCUUGAGUGCGCGGAAGGCAGGCGGAAUUCGUGGUGUAGCGGUGAAAUGCAUAGAUAUCACGCAGAACCCCGAUUGCGAAGGCAGCAUACCGGCGCCCUACUGACGCUGAGGCACGAAAGUGCGGGUAUCGAACAGGAUUAGAUACCCGUGUAA